This 271-nucleotide ribosomal RNA is filed under the name uncultured prokaryote. RNAcentral describes it as "partial 16S ribosomal RNA". It matches the Rfam family "Archaeal small subunit ribosomal RNA", at positions 474 to 743 of the family's 1478-position model. The record is from RNAcentral.
CCCCAGCGCCACGAGUGGCAACCACUAUUAUUGGGCCUAAAGCGUCCGUAGCCGGUUUGACAAGUCUUUUGUGAAAUCGUUGUGCUUAACAUAACGGUGUGCAAAAGAUACUAUUAAACUUGGAACUGGAGAAGAGUUAGAGGUACUCCAAGGGGAGCGGUAAAAUGCUAUAAUCCUUGGAAGACCACCUGUGGCGAAAGCGUCUAACUGGAACAGCUUCGACGGUGAGGGACGAAAGCUAGGGGAGCAAAUGGGAUUAGAUACCCCCGUA